This is a long non-coding RNA of Nymphaea colorata (pocket water lily), 368 nucleotides long. RefSeq lists it as uncharacterized. Lineage: Eukaryota; Viridiplantae; Streptophyta; Magnoliopsida; Nymphaeales; Nymphaeaceae. The record is from RefSeq and is a predicted model, not a curated record. The transcript has 3 exons.
UCUGCCGAUGACUACCCAAUCAAGUAUGAAUCGGAGCGACUACCUCCGCCGAUCGUGACUGACCUGAAUGGCGACGUAGGAAGGAAGUUCGUUGCUACCUACGAUGCGAAGAUUCAGGAGGAUUUUCCUCAUGGCUCCCACCACAGGGAGGUAGCAAUUUAGAUAACUAAUUAUACACUAAGGCAUGGAGAUCAAGGGCUGGUGAUUGUUAGUGGCAGGAUGAAAAUGCAAUCUUAUGAACGAAAAGGGAUGACGGGUUCACGCACAUAACGCUGUAGUGGUUUUGAAACAAUUCCUGCAAGUAGAAAUCUAACGGUAGUAUUUAUAAUUCCAAAACUUUACCGCUUCUUUCAUAGCGUAGCUCUUUU